RNAcentral lists this ribosomal RNA (232 nucleotides) under uncultured bacterium. RNAcentral's name for it is "partial 16S ribosomal RNA". It matches the Rfam family "Bacterial small subunit ribosomal RNA", at positions 15 to 236 of the family's 1533-position model. The record is from RNAcentral.
GAUCCUGGCUCAGGAUGAACGCUAGCUACAGGCUUAACACAUGCAAGUCGAGGGGAAACGACAUCGAAAGCUUGCUUUUGAUGGGCGUCGACCGGCGCACGGGUGAGUAACGCGUGAGGAACCUGCCUUUCAGAGGGGGACAACAGUUGGAAACGACUGCUAAUACCGCAUGACGCAUUUUGAUCGCAUGGUCGAAAUGCCAAAGAUUUAUCGCUGAAAGAUGGCCUCGCGU